Molecule: ribosomal RNA, 264 nt
Filed under: Triticum aestivum (bread wheat)
Lineage: Eukaryota; Viridiplantae; Streptophyta; Magnoliopsida; Poales; Poaceae
Description: partial small subunit ribosomal RNA
Source: RNAcentral
AUGGUGCUUACAGCUCAAAACAACGGUCUUAUUAAAGGGUUAGCUGUCGAUCUUAUUGAGGAUGGGGUUGGCAUCCUGCAAUAUGCAGAUGAGAUGGUGCUUUGUUUUGAGCAUGAUGUUUACAAAGCUGUUAACAUCAAACUCUUGUUAUAUCUCUUCGAACUUAUGUCAGGUCUUAAGAUCAACUUUGAGAAGAGUGAAAUAUUUAGCAUCGGGGGGGAUAAUGAUACUGAUUUAGUUUAUGCGAACAUGUUUGGCUGCUAA